GCAAUGGAAGCCUUUUGGAAUCAAAUAGCACUAUCUUUAAUGCAAAAGUCUAUUUUUAAUUGCGGUCGGCAUGGGUGUACUGAGUGGACUGGUGGUAGAGAGCAUGGGGUCUAUGGGAAGAAGUCAGUUGUGUGGCCUGAUGGAAAGAAAAAAAUAGAAAGGGUUCACAGGCUCUCCUACAUGCAUGCACAUCAUAUUUUGAGGGAUGAAAUGCCAAAUAAAAAUUCACAGGGGGAGCGGUUAGAUGUCUCGCACAUAUGCCAUAACCCCAUCUGUCUUAAGCCGGAACAUUUAAUUCUUGAGCCACACUCUCUCAAUAUGGAUAGAAUGGGGUGUAGAAUGAGAAAUUUAUGUACAAAGGAUCACCAUCCACAUUGUUUAUUAUAGAUUAAGGUGAAUAUUAUUUAUUUGAAAGCCUAGUAGACUUGCGGAGUCUGCCAUAUGAGUGGUCUUUUGGGUACAUAGGACUGUUUUUAGUGACCGGUAAAAGUUUAUUUUUCGUAUAAUCUUUUUCCUCCUGAUGCCGU
This 527-nucleotide long non-coding RNA is filed under the name Mytilus galloprovincialis (Mediterranean mussel). Lineage: Eukaryota; Metazoa; Mollusca; Bivalvia; Mytilida; Mytilidae. The record is from RNAcentral.